GCAUUAUCCCUAUUUCAUGUGGUCAUCAGUUCGUAAUUGUCAUACCAGUUGAGAUCAGAUAUUUAUGAUGAAUUUGAAUCAACCAAGGUAGAGUAUGUAUGUUUUGUACUAUUGUUUUCUCAUUUUAUAUCUAGGAAAGUAUUACAGUUAUAGUAAAUGGAUCCCUGGAUCAUUUGUUUAUCAAUAGGUAAACGAAAUUAUCUAUUUUUAUGAUAAUCAAAAGUCCUGAGAUUUAAUUAAGUUAUAUUACAUCAAUCCUUGUAUGUUGGGAAUCUAAUUGUAAGAAAUAGACAACAUCACGAGACAGUGUGCUCAUAGAACAUGGAUGCAUCAGAAACCUUGUGCACUUUACGCGUAUAAUUUUUUGCUUCAACUCCCUGAUCUAAAAAAACAGGUAUAUGACAUCUCAGGUGGCAAGAGCAUUCUGACAACCACUUCGCCAGUCCUGCUUACGCAUAUUGAUUUGCCUUCUUGCCAGCCACACUAGUAGGUAGGUAUGUUGUCUGUUUUCAUGGUAAAGUUGUAAUCCAUUGAGUUACAUGUCUUUCGUCUCUAUGUGGAUUAGUGCUGAAUAUACUUUUUAGAACUCUCCAAUGAUUUUGUAAAGCAAUCCUUAUUGUGCAACUGCUAUGGGAGUUUGACUUUUGGUCUGGUUUUGAUAAUUAUGCCAUUGAUAAUUGUGAAAGAAAUUCAGAAAACACAACUACUAGAUGAAUGGUAGAGAUUUUCUUUAUUUUCCAUUUUUAUAAUUAUUCUUCUUCUUUAUGACAUUGUCAAUGCUCUUUUGCAGGAGCAAUACUUGGCACCUCCAAACUUUGAAAGGUUGUUGGUAGCAAACUUAAAGCUUUUGACAGAUAAUGGGAAAUUGAGUAAGGUGAUAAAUUUGUUUUCUAUUUUUGGAAAAUAGUGUUGAUCUUUGAUUAUUUCUUUGAUUAUGCUUCAGUUUAUGUUCUAGAAUUGUUUGGAAGGGUGAGGAAGUCAAAGGAAUCUCCUUUAGCAUUGUUAUCACUACAUGUUUUGUUACCACUGCCUUUGGGGUAAAAGUUUUUACUUCACUUUUUAAUUGGGCAUCACUAUUUAAGAGGGUCUGCAGAAAUCUUAGGAGCUUCCUCCACCUCCAAUUAAAAGAACUCCUGAUCAGGUAAUUAAUUCCUAUUUUCUUGAGCUUCAUCUUAUCAUGCUUUUAUUUUCAUUAAACUAAGAUAGAUUAUAUAUUGUUACAUGCUCUAGAAAUUCAUACAAAUAUAUCAUAUGUUUUUGUGGUGUGGAUCAACCUCUCUCCUGUAUCCUACUAUUUUAUGCAUAACUCUGUUAGCCUCAGCAUAACUUUGGUGUAACAUCUAGAGAAAUUAAUUCAUUACCUAUUCUUUUUGUUUUCCUCCCCUUAAAUUUUACUACCUGAUUAACUAUCUUCCUAUAUUUUUAUAUUUAUCAUUUUUCACUUUAUGUAACUGCGGCUAGAGAAAGUAGUUGUGCAGCCAACUCCAGUUUCAUGGUGAGUUCUCUGUACUAGUUUAGGAUCAUUGUCUGUUGCCAAAAGAGGUUUUUAUUUUCUUUUCUUUUUUUAAUUUAAGUUCACCAGUUUCAUCUUUUCUUAUUCCUCGUCUUAUUGAAAUUGAAUUUUGGUGUUUCUAUUGCAGCAUGAAGUUUACAUGCCCAACCUUGAUUUUCUUAAAGAAAAUGAUGAUGAAGUGGAUCUAACAUGUCACACUUUAUUCCUUCUAGUUCAUUGUUAUUCUUUCAGUUUUCUUAUGUUAGUUAAUAAAUUUUGUAGGUACUAUGGUCCUUGUGAGACCAAGAUACAAUAAAAAUUUUUGUAGUUAUUGUGACUCGAGUAUUAUGAUCUAUUUAUAUGAGAAGUUUUGAUUUUAUUA
Molecule: long non-coding RNA, 1874 nt
Filed under: Panax ginseng (ginseng)
Lineage: Eukaryota; Viridiplantae; Streptophyta; Magnoliopsida; Apiales; Araliaceae
Description: long non-coding RNA (PGIN_LNC004716)
Source: RNAcentral